Molecule: long non-coding RNA, 294 nt
Organism: Olea europaea var. sylvestris
Lineage: Eukaryota; Viridiplantae; Streptophyta; Magnoliopsida; Lamiales; Oleaceae
Exons: 2
Source: RefSeq, a predicted model, not a curated record
AGUUUUCUUCACAUACAUACGUCGGAUCUUUAAGAACAUCUAUAACCACGCCGAGCAGAUUUCUCAGCGAUGAUUGUUAGAGGUUUUCGAGGAGACUGCAAUGCUCACAAAAUUUUCUUGUCGGCCGGUCCAUCUAUGCCAAUGCCAAACAUUAUUUCUUUCUCUUGCCUUGUUGGUCUUAUAGGUGCUACCACUUUGUCCAAAUACAUUUUUGUUUGAUAAUUGUACUGCUGCUAUUCUGGCUUCAUACUUUGGUAAUCUAUUCAAGUUUUGAUGCCCGUUAGUCGCCUUUUA